This 253-nucleotide ribosomal RNA is filed under the name uncultured bacterium. RNAcentral describes it as "partial 16S ribosomal RNA". It matches the Rfam family "Bacterial small subunit ribosomal RNA", at positions 524 to 776 of the family's 1533-position model. The record is from RNAcentral.
UACGUAGGGUGCAAGCGUUGUCCGGAGUUAUUGGGCGUAAAGAGCUCGUAGGCGGUUUGUUGCGUCGGCUGUGAAAUCCCGAGGCUCAACCUCGGGUCUGCAGUCGAUACGAGCAAACUAGAGUGUUGCAGGGGAGACUGGAAUUCCUGGUGUAGCGGUGAAAUGCGCAGAUAUCAGGAGGAACACCGGUGGCGAAGGCGGGUCUCUGGGCAACAACUGACGCUGAGGAGCGAAAGCGUGGGGAGCAAACAGG